AUUGAUCGCUGGCGGCGUGCCUAACACAUGCAAGUCGAGCGAACCUUUCGGGGUGAGCGGCGGACGGGUGAGUAACGCGUGGGUAACCUGCCCUAUACACACGGAUAACGUACCGAAAGGUACGCUAAUAGGGGAUAAAGUUGUUGGAUGGCAUCUUCUAACAGUCAAAGCUCCGGCGGUAUAGGAUGGACCCGCGUCUGAUUAGCUAGUUGGUGAGGUAAUGGCUCACCAAGGCGACGAUCAGUAGCCGACCUGAGAGGGUGAUCGGCCACACUGGAACUGAGACACGGUCCAGACUCCUACGGGAGGCAGCAGUGGGGAAUAUUGCACAAUGGGCGAAAGCCUGAUGCAGCAACGCCGCGUGAGCGAUGAAGGUCUUCGGAUCGUAAAGCUCUGUCCUCAAGGAAGAUAAUGACGGUACUUGAGGAGGAAGCCCCGGCUAACUACGUGCCAGCCGCCGCCGUAA
RNAcentral lists this ribosomal RNA (466 nucleotides) under uncultured bacterium. RNAcentral describes it as "partial 16S ribosomal RNA". It matches the Rfam family "Bacterial small subunit ribosomal RNA", at positions 30 to 523 of the family's 1533-position model. The record is from RNAcentral.